AGAAAUAUGCCCAUAAUUAAGCUGCUAACUUAAUUGAUAGUGAUUUAAAUUCAUUAAUAUUUCUU
RNAcentral lists this transfer RNA (65 nucleotides) under Telchinia jodutta. RNAcentral's name for it is "Acraea jodutta transfer RNA-Ser". The record is from RNAcentral. Lineage: Eukaryota; Metazoa; Arthropoda; Insecta; Lepidoptera; Nymphalidae.